ACGCCGUAAACGAUGUCUACUUGGAGGUUGGUGUCUUGAACACUGGCUUUCGGAGCUAGCGCGUUAAGUAGACCGCCUGGGGAGUACGGUCGCAAGAUUAAAACUCAAAUGAAUUGACGGGGGCCCGCACAAGCGGUGGAGCAUGUGGUUUAAUUCGAUGCAACGCGAAGAACCUUACCUACUCUUGACAUCCACGGAAUCCUGCAGAGAUGCGGGAGUGCCUUCGGGAACCGUGAGACAGGUGCUGCAUGGCUGUCGUCAGCUCGUGUUGUGAAAUGUUGGGUUAAGUCCCGCAACGAGCGCAACCCUUAUCCUUGUUUGCCAGCACUUCGGGUGGGAACUCCAGGGAGACUGCCGGUGAUAAACCGGAGGAAGGUGGGGACGACGUCAAGUCAUCAUGGCCCUUACGAGUAGGGCUACACACGUGCUACAAUGGCAUAUACAGAGGGCAGCAAGACCGCGAGGUGGAGCGAAUCCCACAAAGUAUGUCGUAGUCCGGAUUGGAGUCUGCAACUCGACUCCAUGAAGUCGGAAUCGCUAGUAAUCGUGGAUCAGAAUGCCACGGUGAAUACGUUCCCGGGCCUUGUACACACCGCCCGUCACACCAUGGGAGUGGGCUGCACCAGAAGUAGAUAGCUAACCUUCGGGAGGGCGUU
Molecule: ribosomal RNA, 656 nt
Filed under: uncultured Gammaproteobacteria bacterium
Lineage: Bacteria; Pseudomonadati; Pseudomonadota; Gammaproteobacteria
Description: bacterial SSU rRNA
Rfam family: Bacterial small subunit ribosomal RNA
Source: RNAcentral